GGCCCCGUAGCUCAGUGGAUAGAGCAUCUGCCUCCUAAGCAGAGGGUCGCAGGUUCAACUCCUGCCGGGGUCA
Molecule: transfer RNA, 73 nt
Filed under: Deltaproteobacteria bacterium RIFCSPHIGHO2_02_FULL_44_16
Lineage: Bacteria; Deltaproteobacteria
Also listed under: 1 other name
Description: tRNA-Arg
Rfam family: tRNA
About the family: Transfer RNA (tRNA) molecules are approximately 80 nucleotides in length. Their secondary structure includes four short double-helical elements and three loops (D, anti-codon, and T loops).
Source: RNAcentral